RNAcentral lists this long non-coding RNA (2132 nucleotides) under Homo sapiens (human). RNAcentral describes it as "non-protein coding lnc-RPRML-3:13". Lineage: Eukaryota; Metazoa; Chordata; Mammalia; Primates; Hominidae. The record is from RNAcentral.
UUCCCCGCCCCCACUUCUAGGCUUGGUUGAGCCGCGCAGGAAGGUCCGAGGCUGGGGGAGCAGCCGUUGGCUCUGGUGCCCCUGGGGGUGGGAGCACGAGUGGGCAAGGAUGAUGGUGAGGCAGAGGAGGCGGCCCCGAGGGAGCGCCCGGCUGAGAGGCGGGGGGCCGAGGGGCCCGGGGAGCGGGCGUCACCGAGGGCCCUGGAAGCGGCAGGGCUGGGGGAGAGGAGACGCGUGUGUGGAGCAUGGGGACCCCAGCCCAGCUCCCACUUGCAGACCUGGGCCGCGGGCUGCCGGCCGAGUGGCCGGGGGGCCUGGCUGCCCAGGAGGCGGGCCGGGGCCGCGGCCGGGGGCGCGGAGCGGAGUUAGGGUCGCCAGGCCGAGCCGAGGUGGGACGGACCGACGCAGAGAGGAAGGGAAGCCACCUGGCCUGAAGAUCCUGUCUCUAAGAUCCCAUUCUGAGGUCCACGCUGCUUUUAUGAGCUGUAACACUCACCGCGAAGAUCUGCAGCUUCACUCCUGAGCCCAGCGAGACCACGAGCCCACCGGGAGGAACAAACAACUCCAGACGCGCUGCCUUAAGAGCUGUAACACUUGCCGUGAAGGUCUGCAGCUUCACUCCUGAGCCAGCGAGACCACGAACCCACCAGAAGGAAGAAACUCCGAACACAUCUCAACAUCAGAACGGACAGACUCCAGACGCACCACCUUAAGAGCUGUAACACUCACCGCGAGGUUCCGCGGCUUCAUUCUUGAAGUCAGUAAGACCAAGAACCCACCAAUUCCGGACACAGUAGCAUUUGGGAAUAAUAAGAAUUGUAGCUGGGCAUGGUGGUACACGCCUGUAGACCCCUAGCAGCUGCCAUCAUCCUCACCAUCCGCAUAUUAUUGAUAUAUUAACUCUUUGAUGGCAACCAUAGCUUAUCCCCCUUAUCUCCCUAUGCCCUACAGCAGGGCAGUGGAAUGGUUAAGAGGCUUUGAAGUCUAAGAGUGCUGGCUUAAAACCCUAAUUUGUCAUUUUGGAUGUGUGGCUUUGGACACUUGGGGCAGGUCACCUAUGUUCUUCAAGCCCUGUAUCCUUAUCUGUCAGAUGAUGAUUUUUUUUUUUUUAGACGAAGUCUCACUCUCUUGCCCGGGCUGGAGUGCAGUGGCAUGAUCUCGGCUUACUGCAAGCUCCACCUCCCGGGUUGACGCCAUUCUCCUGCCUCAGCUUCCUGAGUAGCUGGGACUACAGGCUCCUGCCACCACCCGUGGCUAAUUUUUUUGUAUUUUUAGUAGAGACAGGGUUUCACCAUGUUAGCCAGGAUGGUCUCGAUCUCCUGACCUCGUGAUCUGCCCGCCCCAGCCUCCCAAAGUAUCAGAUGAUUUUAACAACUAUGCUUCCAUGACUUGCUGGGCUAGAUGAUAUGACUGUAAAAUGCCUAACCCAUGGUUUAGCAUCAAGUAAGCAAAUUGUAAAUGGUAGCACUGCUCUGCCUAUGACUAUUUAGUCUUGUGCUUUAAACUCAAAUAUUUGUUGGCCUACUGAAGUCACCACACAGAGAAAGAUGCUUUUCAUUCUCAGUAAAGAACUUUGGGAGAUAACUGGGGCAGGCAGCAAGAGAACAGAUGUCAUAUGUCUAGCAUCAGCAAACUCAUCAGAACUGAUGGGCAGCUCACUUUGCUUAGAACCUGCACCAGCAUACACACGGGGCUGCUUCCCAGUCACACUGCUCCUGGGAAGGUAGGGGGGCUGCUGUUCUGCAAUUAGCGCGGUUCUUUACCUCCUAUUACCGAACUGCCAGAGUUCAUUUGUGUUCAGUUAGGUAGAUGACCAAUUCUUGUUCAUUCCUAUUUUCUUUUGCUCACUAAUGUGUUUAACGUUCACUAACCUACCAAAUGUGAUUUAUUAGCGACUUUUUCUUUGAAGAUGGAGUGGAGGAAUCCUAGCGCUUUCUGCAACAUGCUACUGCUGUUAUGGAACAGUGCAGAUAUGGAAGUGCAUCAGCCGGGGAUGGGGAGAGGCUAGGGCAGUACAUGUGAAUGGAGAGGUAGCCCCACCAGUGUGUUUUCUGAAAUACAGUCCCGCAGAGGGCAGUCUUGGGAAAUUACUGUUCUCACACACUCUUCUUGACCCUACCCCUCCAGCACCU